This 494-nucleotide ribosomal RNA is filed under the name uncultured bacterium. RNAcentral's name for it is "partial 16S ribosomal RNA". It matches the Rfam family "Bacterial small subunit ribosomal RNA", at positions 28 to 507 of the family's 1533-position model. The record is from RNAcentral.
GACGAACGCUGGCGGCGUGCUUAACACAUGCAAGUCGAACGGAAAGGCCUGCUUUCCCUUGUGGAUUGCGGGUACUCGAGUGGCGAACGGGUGAGUAACACGUGAGUGAUCUGCCCCCAACUUGGGUAUAAGCCUGGGAAACUGGGUCUAAUUCCCGAUAGGACUGCAGGGUGGUGCCUGUGGUGGAAAACGAUUUUCUAGUGGUUGGGGAUGAGCUCGCGGCCUAUCAGCUUGUUGGUGGGGUAAUGGCCUACCAAGGCGGCGACGGGUAGCCGGCCUGAGAGGGUGGACGGACACAUUGGGACUGAGAUACGGCCCAGACUCCUACGGGAGGAAGCAGUGGGGAAUAUUGCACAAUGGGCGGAAGCCUGAUGCAGCGACGCCGCGUGGGGGAUGACGGCCUUCGGGUUGUAAACUCCUUCCGACCGCGAGGAAGCCACCUGGUUGGAAGGGUGGUGACGGUAGUGGUAGAAGAAGCACCGGCUAACUACGUG